GGGGAAUUUUGGACAAUGGGCGAAAGCCUGAUCCAGCCAUGCCGCGUGAGUGAAGAAGGCCUUCGGGUUGUAAAGCUCUUUUAGUCGGAAAGAAAGAGUUGCAAUGAAUAAUUGUGAUUUAUGACGGUACCGACAGAAAAAGCACCGGCUAACUACGUGCCAGCAGCCGCGGUAAUACGUAGGGUGCGAGCGUUAAUCGGAAUUACUGGGCGUACAGGGUGCGCAGGCGGUCUUGCAAGUCAGAUGUGAAAGCCCCGGGCUUAACCUGGGAAUUGCGUUUGAAACUACAAGACUAGAGUGCAGCAGAGGGGAGUGGAAUUCCAUGUGUAGCAGUGAAAUGCGUAGAGAUGUGGAAGAACACCGAUGGCGAAGGCAGCUCCCUGGGUUGACACUGACGCUCAUGCACGAAAGCGUGGGGAGCAAACA
RNAcentral lists this ribosomal RNA (426 nucleotides) under uncultured bacterium. RNAcentral's name for it is "bacterial SSU rRNA". It matches the Rfam family "Bacterial small subunit ribosomal RNA", at positions 356 to 774 of the family's 1533-position model. The record is from RNAcentral.